This 20-nucleotide ribosomal RNA is filed under the name Spyridium nitidum. Its description in RNAcentral is "partial 18S ribosomal RNA". RNAcentral also lists the same sequence under 1 other name. The record is from RNAcentral. Lineage: Eukaryota; Viridiplantae; Streptophyta; Magnoliopsida; Rosales; Rhamnaceae.
ACCUGCGGGAAGGAUCAUUG